Molecule: long non-coding RNA, 588 nt
Filed under: Phoenix dactylifera (date palm)
Lineage: Eukaryota; Viridiplantae; Streptophyta; Magnoliopsida; Arecales; Arecaceae
Description: long non-coding RNA (PDAC_LNC020713)
Source: RNAcentral
AUUUAUUAAGUUGGGCAUUCUUAUCAUUCAUGUUCUUAUGUGUUCAUGAAUCGCCAAAGGAAUUAAUAAGAUGAUGACGCAUAUUCUUAAGAGUUGAGAAUUUGAGGCAUGUGUCAUUGGUGAUUAAUUCCUGAAUUGCUUCUGAUCGAUGGAUCAUCAUGAGGACGGUGAUUGAUCCGCUGAGAUUAGUGCACGGAUUGCUUUCUUUGAUGGACGAGUCUUGAGUCCACAGUGUGGCGACACUGGAGCAAUUCUGCAAGUGCUUGUUAGAGAACAAGGGUACUGAGCGUGACUAUAGCAAGUAGUUACUUGGAUGUCUAUCCACUCGUCAGUGACAUACUUGAUGCUGCAGUUGUAUGACUGGUCCUUUGACCUGUGAUGCCUCGGCUAUUCACAAUGAGGUUGCUGUAGUUUGACGAGCACAUAAACAUGGGCCCUAUCCAUUUGGGUCCUUGUGGUGCAGAUUGGCUGUAGUAGGUUCAUUGUAGGAGUAGGGAUGCAUCUAGAUGGAAUCUAUCGAUCUUGAUAGAUUAGGAGAGAUCCUAUGUGAUUUAUGAGACUGAGUUCGUAAAUCCUUGGCCAAGGUAG